RNAcentral lists this ribosomal RNA (472 nucleotides) under uncultured bacterium. RNAcentral describes it as "bacterial SSU rRNA". It matches the Rfam family "Bacterial small subunit ribosomal RNA", at positions 329 to 793 of the family's 1533-position model. The record is from RNAcentral.
UUCCAGACUCCUACGGGAGGCAGCAGUGAGGAAUAUUGGUCAAUGGGCGGAAGCCUGAACCAGCCAAGUCGCGUGAGGGAAGAAGGCCCUGCGGGUCGCAGACCUCUUUGGACGGGGAGCAAGGCCGCCGACGUGUCGGCGGAAGGAGAGUACCCGUAGAACAAGCAUCGGCUAACUCCGUGCCAGCAGCCGCGGUCAUACGUAGGAUCCGAGCAUUAUCCGGAGUGACUGGGUGUAAAGAGUUGCGUAGGUGGCAUAAUAAGUAGCUAGUGAAAUCUGGUGGCUCAACCAUUCAGACUAUUAGCUAAACUGUUAAGCUCGAGACCGUUAGGGGUAACUGGAAUUUCUAGUGUAGGGUUGAAAUCCGUAGAUAUUAGAAGGAACACCAAUAGCGUAGGCAGGUUACUGGGACGGUUCUGACACUAAGGCACGAAAGCGUAGGGAGCAAACGGGAUUAGAUACCCCGGUAAAG